GAUGAACGCUGGCGGCGUGCCUAAUACAUGCAAGUCGAGCGAACGGACGAUAAGCUUGCUUCUCUGAUGUUAGCGGCGGACGGGUGAGUAACACGUGGAUCACCUACCUAUAAUACUGGUAUAACUUCGGAACACCGGAGCUAAUACCGGAUGAUAUUUUGCACCGUAUGGUUCGAUAUUAAAAGACUGUCUUUCUGUCACUUAUCGAUGUAUCCGCGCUUCAUUAGCUAGUUGGUAAGGUAACGGCUUACCAAGGCAACGAUGCAUAGCCGACCUGAGAGGGUGAUAGGACACACGGGAACUGAGACACGGACAAGAGGCCUAAGGGAGGCAGCAGUAGGGAAUCUUCCGCAAUGGGCGAAAGCCUGACGGAGCAACGCAGCGUGAGUGAUGAAGGGCUUCGGAUCGUAAAACUGUGUUAUUAGGGAAGAACAGAUGUGUAAGUAAAUGUGCAGAUCUUGACGGUACCUAAUAAGAAAGCCACGGCUAACUACGUG
This 497-nucleotide ribosomal RNA is filed under the name uncultured bacterium. RNAcentral describes it as "partial 16S ribosomal RNA". It matches the Rfam family "Bacterial small subunit ribosomal RNA", at positions 28 to 507 of the family's 1533-position model. The record is from RNAcentral.